AACGAACGCUGGCGGCAUGCCUAACACAUGCAAGUCGAACGAGACCUUCGGGUCUAGUGGCGCACGGGUGCGUAACGCGUGGGAACCUGCCCUUAGGUUCGGAAUAACUCCCCGAAAGGGGUGCUAAUACCGGAUAAUGUCUUCGGACCAAAGAUUUAUCGCCUUUGGAUGGGCCCGCGUUGGAUUAGCUAGUUGGUAGGGUAAAAGCCUACCAAGGCGACGAUCCAUAGCUGGUCUGAGAGGAUGAUCGGCCACACUGGGACUGAGACACGGCCCAGACUCCUACGGGAAGCAGCAGUGGGGAAUGUUGGACAAUGGGCGAAAGCCUGAUCCAGCAAUGCCGCGUGAGUGAUGAAGGCCUUAGGGUUGUAAAGCUCUUUUACCCGGGAUGAUAAUGACAGUACCGGGAGAAUAAGCGCCGGCUAACUCCGUG
RNAcentral lists this ribosomal RNA (433 nucleotides) under uncultured bacterium. Its description in RNAcentral is "partial 16S ribosomal RNA". It matches the Rfam family "Bacterial small subunit ribosomal RNA", at positions 29 to 507 of the family's 1533-position model. The record is from RNAcentral.